GAUGAAGAACGUAGUAAAAUGCGAUAAGUAAUGUGAAUUGCAGAAUUCAGUGAAUCAUCGAAUCUUUGAACGCACAUUGCGCCCGCCAGUAUUCUGGCGGGCAUGUCUGUUCGAGCGUCAUUUCAACCCUCAAGCACAGCUUGGUGUUGGGACUCGCGUUAAUUCGCGUUCCCCAAAUUGAUUGGCGGUCACGUCGAGCUUCCAUAGCGUAGUAGUAAAACCCUCGUUACUGGUAAUCGUCGCGGCCACGCCGUUAAACCCCAACUUCUGAAUGUUGACCUCGGAUCAGGUAGGAAUACCCGCUGAACUUAAGCAUAUCAAUAAGCGGAGGA
This 332-nucleotide unclassified non-coding RNA is filed under the name soil metagenome. RNAcentral describes it as "partial contains 5.8S ribosomal RNA, internal transcribed spacer 2, and large subunit ribosomal RNA". The stretch from base 1 to 120 matches the Rfam family "5.8S ribosomal RNA", at positions 35 to 154 of the family's 154-position model. The record is from RNAcentral.